AUUGAACGCUGGCGGCAGGCUUAACACAUGCAAGUCGAGCGGGGUGAUGGUGCUUGCACUAUCACUUAGCGGCGGACGGGUGAGUAAUGCUUAGGAAUCUGCCUAUUAGUGGGGGACAACAUCUCGAAAGGGAUGCUAAUACCGCAUACGUCCUACGGGAGAAAGCAGGGGAUCACUUGUGACCUUGCGCUAAUAGAUGAGCCUAAGUCGGAUUAGCUAGUUGGUGGGGUAAAGGCCUACCAAGGCGACGAUCUGUAGCGGGUCUGAGAGGAUGAUCCGCCACACUGGGCCUGAGACACGGCCCAGACUCCUACGGGAGGCAGCAGUGGGGAAUAUUGGACAAUGGGGGGAACCCUGGUCCAGCCACGCCGCGUGUGUGAAGAAGGCCUUAUGGUUGCAAAGCACUUUAAGCGAGGAGGAGGCUCUCUUGGUUAAUACCCAAGAUGAGUGGACGUUACUCGCAGAAUAAGCACCGGCUAACUCUGUGCCAGCCGCCGCUGUAA
RNAcentral lists this ribosomal RNA (503 nucleotides) under uncultured bacterium. Its description in RNAcentral is "partial 16S ribosomal RNA". It matches the Rfam family "Bacterial small subunit ribosomal RNA", at positions 30 to 523 of the family's 1533-position model. The record is from RNAcentral.